RNAcentral lists this non-coding RNA (955 nucleotides) under Trichomonas vaginalis G3. Its description in RNAcentral is "Eukaryotic small subunit ribosomal RNA". It matches the Rfam family "Eukaryotic small subunit ribosomal RNA", at positions 712 to 1758 of the family's 1831-position model. Lineage: Eukaryota; Parabasalia; Trichomonadida; Trichomonadidae. The record is from Rfam by way of RNAcentral.
UAGUUUGAAUUGGCCAGCAAUGGUUGUAGGUAUUUUACGUUCACUGGGAACAAUCAGGACGGUUAGAGUAUGGCCACAUGAAUGAUUCAGCGCCAGUAUGAAGUCUUGUUUUCUUCCGAAAACAAGCUCAAUGAGAGCCAUCGGGGGUAGAUCUAUCUCAUGACGAGUGGUGGAAUACUUUGACUCAUGAGAGAGAAGCUGAGGCGAAGGCGUCUACCUAGAGGGUUUCUGUCGAUCAAGGGCGAGAGUAGGAGUAUCCAACAGGAUUAGAGACCCUGGUAGUUCCUACCUUAAACGAUGCCGACAGGAGUUUGUCAUUUGUUAAUGGCAGAAUCUUUGGAGAAAUCAUAGUUCUUGGGCUCUGGGGGAACUACGACCGCAAGGCUGAAACUUGAAGGAAUUGACGGAAGGGCACACCAGGGGUGGAGCCUGUGGCUUAAUUUGAAUCAACACGGGGAAACUUACCAGGACCAGAUGUUUUUUAUGACUGACAGGCUUCGGGUCUUUCAGGAUAUUGUUUUUGGUGGUGCAUGGCCGUUGGUGGUGCGUGGGUUGACCUGUCUAGCGUUGAUUCAGCUAACGAGCGAGAUUAUCGCCAAUUAUUUACUUUGCCGAAGUCCUUCGGUUAAAGUUCUAAUUGGGACUCCCUGCGAUUUUAGCAGGUGGAAGAGGGUAGCAAUAACAGGUCCGUGAUGCCCUUUAGAUGCUCUGGGCUGCACGCGUGCUACAAUGUUAGGAUCAAUAGGACUGCGAGCCUGAGAGGGUGCGCUACUCUUAUAAUCCCUAACGUAGUUGGGAUUGACGUUUGUAAUCAGCGUCAUGAACCAGGAAUCCCUUGUAAAUGUGUGUCAACAACGCACGUUGAAUACGUCCCUGCCCUUUGUACACACCGCCCGUCGCUCCUACCGAUUGGAUGACUCGGUGAAAUCACCGGAUGCUUACGAGCAGAAAGUGA